CGUGACCACCAGGAGAAAUAGGACCCCCGUUUGCGGCUCUUGAGUGGGGUUUUUGACCGGGUUGGCGAGCCUCUCUACGCCCGGUCGCUGGCUUCCCCCGCCGGCUUCGCUCCAGCCGCCUCGGCCGCCUCCGCCUCCGCGGCGGGCUUCUUUUUGGCUGGACAUUCUCUGGCGAAGUGGUCUCCAUUCCCACAGUACCAGCACAGAUUCAAAUGUUGGCGGCGGGCCUUUUCAGCAACAUCUAGUCUGGGGCGCACAUUGCCCAACUGCAUCGGCACCUCCUCGCUUCCCAUGGGGUUUGGGGCUGGCGGUGGGGUUCUCCAUAUUGGACGGGGCUGAACGCUGGUAGAAGUGGGGGGCUUUACUCCAGCUCUUCCACUCUGGCCUCGGAGCCACUGUUUUUUGUUGGCAAGCAGGACUUCAGCCCGUAAACACUGGUUGAUGAGUCUUUCAAGAGUCCCUGGGGGGUCCACCUUAGAGAUUUCUUCCUGCAUCUCGAUGUUGAGGCCCUCCUGCAUAUGGAGUGUGUCUCGGAUCCUAUUGAAUUCUUCCUGGGAAAUGGUGUAACUGGGUGGUUGAGCUUCCGCUCCGGUUCCUGUAGACAUUCUGGCCUUAGGUUAUUUGGUGCUUAGGGUGGCAGAGUCAAACUGUCAGAACCCUGGCAGCAGAGCACCAAUAACCUUACACAGAGGCCAGUCUCUAUCUAAUAUCUUUAUUAAAGAAAUAUAUAAAAUCAAUAAAAACAAGUGAAGAAUAUAGUUCAGAAGCAGACCUUUCAAAUGAGGUCAAAUAUAGUCCAAAAAUGUAUUGUCCAAUAAAUGAUAUUAGAGUUCAAAGUUUUAAUCCACUUGACCGAAACACACACUUUGCCAAGCAAUAGUGUGGGGAAAUAGCAGAGUCCUAGAGUCCAAUGAAGCUUGACAACAAGGCUGGAAAUAAACUUGAUUCUUGACUAGAUCCGUGACUGGAGACAAGGCAAAACAUGAAGCAUGAAGCAGGGUUCGUGGUAAAACCGCGAGGCAGGGCAAGGCUUGAAGCUUGAUCCGGGAAGCAAGGAACUGGGAUUACGAAGUCCACACACGAUCUCUCUCCUGAAGCUGAUCAAUUGACUCCGCAAAGAAUCCUUCGCGCCAAACACCUAUAUUGGGUCUCGUUUUCCCGCAAACAGAACUCUUUCCCUAGAGAACAAGAAGCGAAACCCAACUCUGUCCAGAUGUGUGACACCUUAGAAUUUCCCAAGGGAAGCAGACCUAAUCAGCCAUUUGUUUGGCAGCGAUGCGUAAACUCCUCCGUUGAGCUUCUCUGACUCCCCUUUCUCUGGAAUAAGAUUCUUUUCUGGGAAACGGAGGGGAGUUCUGCCCAAGGCCUGUUUGGCUGAAUUCUUGAGGGCAAACAUCAACAUCCUGAAGGUGAAGGGACUCCGGCUCUUGCUGAACCGGUGAAAACCCCAUGUUUUCCUCUUCGUCUGCCACAAUAGUACUAGGAACAGGACUACAAGGCCCAUGAGUCCUCACAAUUGUUGAUAGGAAGUGGGCUUAUGUAUUUGGUACUUAGAUAUAGGAAGUGAUCACAUAGGAUUCGUGAGUUCCCUGAGGAUAAUUGACUGGUAUAUUGAUGGCAUUAGAAUGUGAAUGAUGGUGCGUGCAUGUUGGCUGAUAUACAUCUGAGUGGAAAGAGACAGUAGAAACGGUGUGUUAACGUUGGAAGAUUAGAGUGGUCACUAUAGGAAGGUUUUUGAGAAAGUAUUAGGAAUGAGUUGGCAGGAAUCUCCGAGGAAAAAUGAACUUCUUCAAUUAUGUGAUUUGUUGGGGAAAUCGUUCAGUACUGUUUUGUACCAACUGGAGACACUGAACAAGAAAAUUGAUAAUCUUUUCAAGGGAAUUUCCCUGAUUGCGAAAAGUCCUUCUCCUAUAGACACUAUAACAACUGUACCAAUCAGUUCAACUAACAUUAAUGAGAAAUUAAAUGCUCUGGAAGACCAUGGAAGAAUAAAGCUAGAGGAGCAGAAAGUAGUUAAUAGGUCAGAUUUGGAAGUGGCCAGGGAUGGGGCUGGGUUAUUAUCUGGGAAAGAGGGUCAAGGGAGGGUUGCCUGGAAGGAAAUUAAUAGAGUCUCUCAGAGGACAAACAACACUCUGUCCCCAGAACUGUUUGGACAAUUUCGGGAUACUUCCUGCAGCCUGUUGUGAACCAACAAGGUGGCAGUGGAAGUCUCAGACUCUUUACUAAAUAGAGGCAGAUGGACUUCUAAGCGAGCGGUCCAGAUAUCUCUCUCGCAAAUUUUUUCCUUGAGCCGGUCGGAAGUGAAGAUCAAGACCAUUGACUGGCUUCGCAGAGACUAUCAAUCCUGGAACCGCUCCAUAUGUCUUCUCAUUGGGCUGGAGGAUAGAAUGUUGCUGGAAGAAUUGUUUUUAUAUGGGCCUAAACUCCAACAAUGGGGUAUCAUUCUGAAGAGGGUACUAGUAGACCCAUUGAUUCGCCCUCUAGACAUCGGACUGCCUCGCAAAAUACAAGAGUCCCCAACAUCAAGCUAUGUUUGUUCUACCCCCUAGCCCUGCCAUCAGUCAUUAGUUGUGCCUAGCCCCCCUGCCACGUUAGAUGAUGUUAUCAUAUUAGAUGACUCCUCUUCUCUCACACCAGCGGAGAUAAGCCUCUCUUUUAAACAAUCAAGUACACUUGGAGGCCUUUCCUCCCAGGACAGCUGACUAUCCCCCUCAAAUGGCAAUCUCAAUCAACCAAUCUCUCAGGAGGAACAGGGUUCUCACGGGUGGGGCCCCAUUGAGGUGGUGUGGGGGAGAAGGAAGAACGGUCACCAAUGACCCAGGGAGAAGCGCAACAGAGUUAUUGCGACCCUGGAGAGGAAUAGGUGUGGUAGUCUUCAGGACAGACCCCUCAGCCUUAAGGUCCUGCUUCUGAAUGCCAGAUCCGUCAAUGGUAAGACAGCUAUCAUCCAGGAUUUAAUCCUGGAUGAGGGGGCGGAUCUGGCAUGUAUUACCGAGACAUGGUUGGAUGAACUGGGUGGGGUAAAUCUCACCCAGCUGUGUCCACCGGGUUUCGGGGUUCAUCAGCAGGCCAGGGUUGAGGGGCGGGGAGGAGGAGUCGCGGUGAUCUUCCGGCAGUCCAUCGCCCUGAUCAGGUGCACCGUUCCGCAAUCUACGAGGUUUGAAUGUGUUCUGCUGAAGGUGGGAGCCCGAGACAGCUUGGGGAUUCUGUUGGUGUACCGUCCACCCCGCGACCCAGCAGUCUCCCUGUCUGAGCUAGCAGAAGUGGUUUCUAAUGUGGCCUUGGUCUCCCAACAACUUAUUGUUUUGGGAGACUUUAACAUCCAUGCCGAGACCACAUUAACAGGUGCAGCUCAGGAUUUCAUGGUUGCCAUGACGACCAUGGGGCUGACUCAAGUUAUAUCUAGGCCCACACAUCAGGCGGGACACACGUUGGACCUUGUCUUCAUUGUGGACGGUGGGACAGUCAGAGUGGAAGAACAAAAUAUCCUUCCAUUGUCAUGGUCUGACCAUCAUCUGAUCUGUCUAAGUUUCGCCGUGUCUUCUAACCUCCGCAGGGGUGGUGGUCCCACUAAGAUGGUCCGCCCCAGGAGACUGAUGGAUCCAGAUGGACUCCUGAGGUCUCUUGGGGAUCUUCCUGUUCUGGAGACUGGCGACCCUGUUGAUGUCCUGGCUGAUCGCUAUAAUAGUGAGCUGGCAAGGGCAUUGGACACGAUCGCUCCCGAAUGUCCCCUCUCGCUGCGUAGAGUCACGUCUACUCCUUGGUUCACUGAGGAGCUGGCCGUGAUGAAGCGUGCGAGGAGGGGACUAGAGUGCAUCUGGAGGAAAUCUCAGGAUGUGUCCGACCAAGCACGGGCUAAAGCCGCUAUUAAGGCUUACUCCGUGGCUCUGCGGGCAGCCAGGAAAGCUUUCAUGACUGCCCGCAUAGCGUCUGCGGCCAAUAGGCCAUCGGAGUUGUUCCGGGUUGUUGGGGAGAUCCUGCGGCCCCCUGAGACCCAGGAGCUUCCCGAUGACUUGGCAACUCGGUGCAGCGAGUUCGCACACCAUUUCGCAGGCAAAGUUGCUCGGAUACGUCGUGAGUUGGACUUCAGCUUAACUGUGGUUUCAGCGGAGGUAACCGAGGCACCUGUCGGUUCGAUCUUAUGGGAUUCUUUCCGGCUUGUUCUUCCUGAUGACGUGGAGGGGAUUCUUGGGUCUGUGAGGGUGUCCACUUGCGCUCUGGAUCCUUGUCCUUCUUGGCUGGUUAAACUGGCCAAAGAUGGGUUGUUGGAGUGGUUUGUGGCUAUAAUAAAUGCCUCCUUGGGUCAGGGGUCAUUUCCAUCCUGUUUUAAACAAGCGGUGGUAAAACCACUACUAAAAAAAACCUCGUUAGACCCAUUGGUUUGUGACAAUUACAGACCAAUCUCCAACCUCCCAUUCUUGGGCAAGGUGCUGGAGCGGGUGGUUGCCACGCAGCUCCAGGGGUUUCUCGAUGACACCGAUUUUCUGGACUGCUCGCAGUCUGGCUUCAGGCCUGGGCACAGCACCGAGACGGCUCUGGUCGCCUUGGUGGAUGACCUCUGCAGGGAGCUGGACAGGGGGAGUGUGACCCUGCUGGUUCUCCUGGAUAUCUCAGCGGCUUUCGAUACCAUCGACCAUGGUAUCCUUCUGGGGAGGCUCUCUGUGAUGGGGCUCGGUGGCACAGUUUUGCAGUGGCUCCAGUCCUUCCUGGAGGGCCGUUCCCAGAUGGUGAAGCUGGGGGACACCUGCUCGGACCCCUGGCCAUUGACCUGUGGGGUUCCGCAGGGGUCUAUCUUAUCCCCCAUGCUAUUUAACAUCUACAUGAAACCGCUGGGAGAGGUCAUCCGGAGUUUUGGAGGGCGUUGCCAUCUCUACGCAGAUGACACGCAAAUCCACUACAAAUUUCCAUCUGAUUCCAAGGAAGCCCCUCGGAUGCUGAACCAGUGCCUGGCCGCUGUGGCGGACUGGAUGAGGAGGAACAAGCUGAGAAUCAAUCCCGACAAGACAGAGGCCCUCCUGGUCAGUCGUGCGGCAGAUCGGGGUAUUGGGUGGCAACCUGUGCUGGACGGGGUUGCACUCCCCCUGAAAUCACAGGUCCGCAGUUUGGGGGUCCUCCUGGAUUCAGCGCUGACGCUUGAAGCACAGGUGUCGGCGGUGGCCGGGAGGGCCUUUGCACAACUCAAACUUGUGCGCCAACUGCGACCAUACCUCGUGAAGUCUGACUUGACCACGGUGGUCCACCCCUUAGUUACCUCUAGACUGGACUACUGUAAUGCACUCUACGUGAGGCUUCCCUUGAAGACGGCCCGGAAAUUACAAUUGGUCCAACGCUCGGCUGCCAGAUUAAUAACAGGGGCAAAUUACAGGGUGAGAUCCACUCCCUUGUUUAAGGAGCUCCACUGGCUGCUGUUCAUCUUCCGGUCCCAAUUCAAGGUGCAGACCAUCAUCUAUAAAGUCCUAAACGGUUUGGGACCCACCUACCUCCGUGACCGUAUCUCCUUCCAUAAACCUGCCCGUUCUUUGCGAUCAUCCGGGGAGGCCCUGUUAUCACCAUUGCCUAUAUCCCAGGCCCGCCUUGUAAGUACAAGGGAGAGGGCCUUUUCUGCUGUGGCCCCCCGACUGUGGAACUCACUACAUACUGAAAUUAGGCAAGCUCCCACUCUGUUAGCUUUUAGGAAAGAAUUGAAAACAUGGCUCUUCCGCUGUGCUUUCGGUGAGUAAUUUCUGUUAUAGAUCUCCAUAUUACUCCCCUCCGAACAUCUAUCCUCUAGAUUACCCCUUCCAAAUGUCCCUGCCCAUAGUGGAGUACUCCUCUGUCCCUCUCACUCCGGGUUUUAUCUCUGUGUUCACGCGGCCUGCCCUUGCUUUAUUGUUUUUUUGAUUUCUUGAUGUUCUGUUUAUUAUUAUUUAUUGUAUUUUGAAUGGUGCUAUGAUAUGUUGUUUUUAUAUCUUAUUAUGUUGUAUUGCUCUGGGCAUGGCCCCAUGUUAGCCGCCCCGAGUCCCCAUUGGGGAGAUGGUGGCGGGGUAUAAAUAAAGUUUUAUUAUUAUUAUUAUUAUUAUUGUUCUCCAGACCCUUGAUCAUUUUAGUCGCCCUCCUCUGGACGCUUUCCAGCUUGUCAACAUCUCCCUUCAACUGCGGAGCCCAGAAUUGGACACAGUGUGAUUCCAGGUGUGGUCUGACCAAGGCCGUAGCCAUAAAAAUUUUUUGGGUGUGUGUGUGAAAACUUUGGGGUGGCAGAUGGGGUUUGAACCCCUAACCCCCCCCCCUUUCCGGCUACAGCCCUGUCAAUAUCUGCUUCAGAUAGUGCCUGGAGGGACUCUUAAUUUUUUUUUUGUCUCCUAGACUAUAGCAUGGGGAUUUGGUUAACCAAUUAAAAUUCAUGAGUAAACCAUUUUUUUAAAAAAAAAUUUGGGGGGGGGGGGUUGAACCCCUAACUCCCCCCCCCCCCUCCGGCUACAGGCCUGGGUCUGACCAAGGAAGAAUAGAGGGGUAGCAUUGUGACCAAAAUAUGCAUAUAUGAUAUGUGGUAUGAAUGGAAGAAUGAGUGAGUUAGUACAUUUGAAGACACCAGUCUGUAGACUAAUGCUGCAAACCAUUAACUCCCUGCUCAGGAAUUGUAAUUAAAACCUGCUAAUGAGACCUGAAAGAGUUGACCUGCCUGGCAAACUGUGAUAAGAACUGCGACUGAUAAGAGAAAUGUUUACAUCUGUUAACAUCUGUCAACAUUUGCUGACUUGAUGAACUUUUGGGGCAGAGCUGCUUGUGUUUGCUAACACCAAUCAAGAGGAAUCAACAUCUGGUCCAGGAAACUGAGGAUAUUCCAGGAUGGAAGACGCCUAUCAUUCAUUUGCAACUUUGGGACAACAUCAUCAGCAAAAUAUUGCUAUAUAAGUGACCUUAUGACAGUCCAGUAGGUGUGACAGACAGCGACGCUGUUCACCUGCCAUGCUCAGUGGAGAUGGUGUACUUGGGAGUGGCAGAUCUGCUAUGGGAAAGCAGGAUUCUGUUCACUGUUUGGGGCCUCCUUUUCUCAGGGAAAGAGGAAGGAGUGCAUUUUGAAGUCAUGGUAUUUUUGAAGUUUUGGCGUUUUGGCGAUUUGGAACUAUGUCUUGGCAGGCAGCAGUGGAAGCUGGGUCUGGCCUAAGCAGGUGUUUCUCCAAGGAGGGAGACAGGAUAUGGUAAUAUUUGAGUGCAUGAAGAUGGAUGCAUGUUGUAUGUGAAUGAAGAAUGAAAAUGUAACCCCCCCUUUUGUUUCUUAGCCAAUGUAACUGUAGGUUGUUUGUGAAUCCAAUGUAGUUGCAUAGAAUCUGUAUGUUUGUAUGUCUAAAUGUUGUUCUUUGUUGUUCUAUAAAAGUUCUGCUAUACCUCUCAGACUGAAACUGCAAUAAAAAGAACCUAUGCUUUAAAGUUAUUGAAAAAUUAUUCAUAACAUUUUUGGUGUCAGAAGUGGGAUAUUCUGUUUAGUCUGAGCAGGAUGUUUUAACUUUUGUUUUAAAAGUCUUCAUGACAGCAUGACUUCCCUGGAUCUAGACACUAUACUCCUAUUGAUGCAGGCCAAAAUCCCAUUGGCUUUUUUUGCCGCCACAUAACAUUGUAGGCUCAUGUUUAACUUGUUGUCCACGAGGACUCCAAGAUCCUUUUUACACGUACUGCUGUUGAGCCAGGCGUCCCCCAUUCUGUAUCUUUGCAUUUCAUUUUUUCUGCCUAAGUGGAAUCUCUUGCAUUUGUCCCUGUUGAACUUCAUUUUGUUAGUUUCAACCCAUCUCUCUAUCUGUUAAGAUGGUUUUGGAUUCUGCCCCUGUCUUCUGGAGUAUUGGCUACCCCUCCCAAUUUGGUGUCAUCUGCACACUUGAUGAUCAUGCCUUCUAACCCUUCAUCUAAGUCAUUAAUAAAGAUGUUGAACAGAACCAGGCCCAGGAUGGAACCCUGUGGCACUCCACUCAAGACUUCUUUCCAGGAUGAAGAAGACGCAUUGGAUAUGCUGCCAGAGAAAAACAAAGCCUGGGGCUAUGGAUUCCAUACUUGACCGGUUAAGUUGGACAAGCAGCCAGCAGCAUCACAAUUGAACAGAAGCCUUUGUAGUAAUAUUAUCUACAAGGAUGGUAUUAGAAUGAAAAUGUUUAUUGCCAUAGGAAAGACAAUGUCAUUAAUUACCAAAGUGAACAUCACUAGUAUUUUCAUCUUCUGCUAGAGUUUCUUCCUACAGUUAUUAUAGAAUUUCCAUGCCAGACUCGGAUGUUGGAUAUGUUUAGCUUGCUUCUGAAGCAGUUUUAGCAUAUUUCAAGAGGUCUAGCUGGUUUUGCAGUGUUACCACUCAGAGGUUUAUCCAUGCUCAUGUUUAUUUGCAUUUAUUUUGUUCUCACAAGCAAGAAUGAAAAACUUUAAAUCUCCUUAUGCCCAUGGGUUUCCUUGGAGUAAUGGUCCCACUUAGCAUAAAAGGAGCCUUGAAAUGGAACUGGAGGAAUCACCACUAUACAGGCCCGUAGCCAGGAUUUUGGUUCGGGAGGGGCUGGGAUUUUGGUUCAGGGGGGGGGGGGGGCUGAGUCUGAGUGAGAGAGGAUUUGCCCUAGCAAACCUUUUGUAUCGUUAUCCCAAUGCCUCCAAGCAUAUGGGAUAUAUUGAGCAUGGUGAUCAGAUCAUGAUAUGAAUAAGCAUAACAGUUUAAAUAAUAAAUAUAAGGCCUUCUCUCUCUCUCUCUCCCCCCCCCCCCCCCCGGCUACAUGCCUGCCACUGUAGGACUCCAGCAAGGUCAAGAAAAUCUGCAAGGCCAAACAUUUCUUGAGCAAAUGUUUCAGUAUAUCAUGGCUCUUUAAUGAGAAAGCAUUAGAAAAAUAAACACAAAGAAAUGAAAAUAACAAUGGUUUCCCACCAGAAAGGGAAAACAUAGUCAUAUAGAUGUUGCUUAAUAGUAUUUCUCAUUAGACCUAGCAACAGUAGUAAAUGGUAAAGAUUGAUUAAAGUUAUAGGUCAACAAUAUCUAGAGCAGUGGUUCUCAAUCUGUGGGUCCCCAGAUGUUUUCGCCUUCAGCUCCCAGAAAUCCUAACAGCUGGUAACCUGGCUGGGAUUUCUGGGAGUUGUAGGCCAAAACACCUGGGGACUCACAUGUUGAAAAUGACUGAUCUAGAGAAUCACAGAUCUCAGACCCUGGAUGUUUCAAAAAUAUAGCUUUUGAAACUUUGUAAUGUCCAACAUGCUGAUCAUGGAGCUGCUGCAGAUUUCUUCCAAGUGUUGGUCUUAAUGACGGAAUAUAUUUAGAGCUGUGCCCUGUAGGUUCUGUUAUUGAGGUUUUACACUCCAUGAGAGAAGAAGGAGAUGACCCUGUAUCGUUCAAGCCAUGGUUCAUUGAGGCCAAAGCCAACCAAACAUAGUCAGCAAAAGAAGAAAAUAAAUAUCAAUAGAUUUUUUUUUAUAAAAAAAUCACCAUUCAAGCCACUAACUUCCAUAUUCCUACUAGAGGUAGUUUACGACUUGUAUUUGGUCCAACUGACCAAUUUGUACAACUCAAAGCAAUGUAUUAAAGGAAAUAAAUUUGUGUAGAUUUUA
Anolis carolinensis (green anole) is the source of this 9543-nucleotide long non-coding RNA. RefSeq annotates it as probable RNA-directed DNA polymerase from transposon BS. The transcript is spliced from 2 exons. The record is from RefSeq and is a predicted model, not a curated record. Lineage: Eukaryota; Metazoa; Chordata; Lepidosauria; Squamata; Anolidae.